Molecule: non-coding RNA, 428 nt
Organism: Cricetulus griseus (Chinese hamster)
Lineage: Eukaryota; Metazoa; Chordata; Mammalia; Rodentia; Cricetidae
Source: RefSeq, a predicted model, not a curated record
CUAGGGAGACUCAGAAUCCAGAAUCAGUCCACGAGGCUGGAUGUCUCAUAACCACAGUGUGAUGCUGAAGGUCUGGAGGAUGCAGCCCACGUUGGAAGCCGGAGGAAGCCUGAUCUAAUCACGGAAGGAAUGUAGCAAUAGCAGCAUCAAGGUUAUUUCAUCGCGGCAGCAGAAAUGAAACUAAUACAGUGAGGCAAAGGGAGAAGACCAGACACAGCAAAGGACCAAUCUGUGAAAAACCAAACCCUCAAAAAACAAAACAAGAGUGUUUGGUGUGGUUGGAACAAAACUUCAAUCCCAACACUCCGGGAGGCGGAGGCAACGAGAGUUCUGUGAGUUCAAGGCCAGUCUGGUCUACAGAGCAAAUUCCAGGGAAGGCAAGGCUGUGUAAUGAGAUCCUAAGAAAUAAAAUAGACUAACAAAAUCCA